GAUGAACGCUGGCGGCGUGCUUAACACAUGCAAGUCGAACGAUGAACCUCACUUGUGGGGGGAUUAGUGGCGAACGGGUGAGUAACACGUGAGUAACCUGCCCUUGACUCUGGGAUAAGCCUGGGAAACCGGGUCUAAUACUGGAUACGACCUUCUGGCGCAUGCCAUGUUGGUGGAAAGCUUUUGUGGUUUUGGAUGGACUCGCGGCCUAUCAGCUUGUUGGUGGGGUAAUGGCCUACCAAGGCGACGACGGGUAGCCGGCCUGAGAGGGUGACCGGCCACACUGGGACUGAGACACGGCCCAGACUCCUACGGGAGGCAGCAGUGGGGAAAAUUGCACAAUGGGCGCAAGCCUGAUGCAGCGACGCCGCGUGAGGGAUGAAGGCCUUCGGGUUGUAAACAUCUUUCAGUAGGGAAGAAGCCGGCUUUUGGGUUGGUGACGGUACCUGCAGAAGAAGCGCCGGCUAACUACGUG
Molecule: ribosomal RNA, 475 nt
Filed under: uncultured bacterium
Lineage: Bacteria
Description: partial 16S ribosomal RNA
Rfam family: Bacterial small subunit ribosomal RNA
Source: RNAcentral